Molecule: ribosomal RNA, 254 nt
Filed under: uncultured bacterium
Lineage: Bacteria
Description: partial 16S ribosomal RNA
Rfam family: Bacterial small subunit ribosomal RNA
Source: RNAcentral
UACGGGGGGAGCAAGCGUUGUUCGGAUUUACUGGGCGUAAAGGGCGCGUAGGCGGCCACCGCAAGUCGGUUGUGAAAUCUCUGGGCUUAACCCAGAAAGGUCAACCGAUACUGCGGGGCUAGAGUGCAGAAGGGGCAACUGGAAUUCUCGGUGUAGCGGUGGAAUGCGUAGAUAUCGAGAGGAACACCUGCGGCGAAGGCGGGUUGCUGGGCUGACACUGACGCUGAGGAGCGAAAGCGUGGGGAGCGAACAGG